This 661-nucleotide ribosomal RNA is filed under the name Lispe neimongola. RNAcentral describes it as "partial 12S ribosomal RNA". The record is from RNAcentral. Lineage: Eukaryota; Metazoa; Arthropoda; Insecta; Diptera; Muscidae.
UUGUCCCUAUUAUUAAAAAUGUAAAUAAAAAAAAAUUAAGAUAGUAAUAGUUAUGUUCUUGAAACUUAAAAAAUUUGGCGGUAUUUUAGUCUAUUCAGAGGAACCUGUUUUAUAAACGAUAAUCCACGAUGGACCUAACUUAAAUUUGUAUUCAGUUUAUAUAUCGUCGUUAUUAGAAUAUUUUAAAAGAAUAAUAAUUUUCAUAAUUUUAAAAUAAAAAAUAUAUCAGAUCAAGGUGUAGCUUAUAUUUAAGUAAAAAUGGGUUACAAUAAAUUUAUUUAUACGAAUAUAAAUGUGAAAUGUUUAUUGAAGGAGGAUUUGAUAGUAAAAUUAUAAAGAUUAAUAAUUUGAUUUUAGCUCUAAAAUAUGUACAUAUCGCCCGYCGCUCUUAUUAAUAAGGUAAGAUAAGUCGUAACAUAGUAGAUGUACUGGAAAGUGUAUCUAGAAUGCAAUUUAAAGCUUUUUUAGUAAAGUAUUUCAUUUACAUUGAAAUGAUUAUUGUGCAAAUCAAUAUAAAUUGAUUGAAUUUUAUUUAUUAAUUUUUUUUUGUUUUAAUUAUAAUUUAUUAAAAAUAAUUAUAAAAAGUUUUGUUUUAGUAUUUUAUAAAGAAAAAAUAAAUUUUAUUAUAGUUUAAUAGUAUUGUGAAAGAAAAUUGAAAUAA